CGCGUAGGCGGGCGGUUUCGUCGGGGUGAAAUCCUGCCGCCCAACGGCAGAACUGCCCCCGAUACGGGCCGUCUCGAGGGAGGUAGGGGCAUGUGGAACUUCCGGUGGAGCGGUGAAAUGCGUAGAUAUCUGGAGGAACACCGGUGGCGAAGGCGGCAUCCUGGACCAACAUUGACGCUGAGGAGCGAAAGCCAGGGGAGCAAACG
Molecule: ribosomal RNA, 206 nt
Filed under: uncultured bacterium
Lineage: Bacteria
Description: partial 16S ribosomal RNA
Rfam family: Bacterial small subunit ribosomal RNA
Source: RNAcentral